GUCUACGGCCAUACCACCCUGAACGCGCCCGAUCUCGUCUGAUCUCAGAAGCUAAGCAGGGUCGGGCCUGGUUAGUACUUGGAUGGGAGAACGCCUGGGAAUACCGGGUGCUGUGGGCU
Molecule: ribosomal RNA, 119 nt
Filed under: Pongo abelii (Sumatran orangutan)
Lineage: Eukaryota; Metazoa; Chordata; Mammalia; Primates; Hominidae
Source: RNAcentral